Molecule: ribosomal RNA, 629 nt
Filed under: uncultured fungus
Lineage: Eukaryota; Fungi
Description: eukaryotic LSU rRNA
Rfam family: 5.8S ribosomal RNA (bases 254-407)
Source: RNAcentral
CUUGGUCAUUUAGAGGAAGUAAAAGUCGUAACAAGGUCUCCGUUGGUGAACCAGCGGAGGGAUCAUUACAGAGUUACACAACUCACCAAACCAUUGUGAACCGUACCUUUACCGUUGCUUCGGCGGGAGGCGCCCCGUGCCCCUGUGGCGCGCCGGGCGUCCCCUGGCCCCCUCGCGGGGCGCCCGCCGGAGGAAUACCCAAAACCCUUUGCAGCACAUGGCCUCUCUGAGUCUUCUGUACUGAAUAAGUCAAAACUUUCAACAACGGAUCUCUUGGUUCUGGCAUCGAUGAAGAACGCAGCGAAAUGCGAUAAGUAAUGUGAAUUGCAGAAUUCAGUGAACCAUCGAAUCUUUGAACGCACAUUGCGCCCGCCAGUAUUCUGGCGGGCAUGCCUGUUCGAGCGUCAUUUCAACCAUCAAGCCCCCGGGCUUGUGUUGGGGACCUGCGGCUGCCGCAGGCUCUGAAAUCCAGUGGCGGGCUCGCUGACACACCGAGCGUAGUAGAUUUACAACCUCGCUUUGGGAGUGCUGCGGGUGCUAGCCGUAAAACGACCUUGUCUUUAGCACUAGGUUGACCUCGGAUCAGGUAGGGAGACCCGCUGAACUUAAGCAUAUCAAUAAGCGGAGGA